UGGGGGAUAUUGCACAAUGGAGGAAACUCUGAUGCAGCAACGCCGCGUGAAGGAUGAAGGUCUUCGGAUUGUAAACUUUUGUACUUGGGGACGAUAAUGACGGUACCCAAGCAGCAAGCUCCGGCUAACUACGUGCCAGCAGCCGCGGUAAUACGUAGGGAGCAAGCGUUGUCCGGAUUUACUGGGUGUAAAGGGUGCGUAGGCGGCUAUGCAAGUCAGUUGUGAAAACUAUGGGCUCAACCCAUAGCCUGCAAUUGAAACUGCGUGGCUUGAGUGAAGUAGAGGUAGGUGGAAUUCCCGGUGUAGCGGUGAAAUGCGUAGAGAUCGGGAGGAACACCAGUGGCGAAGGCGACCUAC
Molecule: ribosomal RNA, 357 nt
Filed under: uncultured bacterium
Lineage: Bacteria
Description: partial 16S ribosomal RNA
Rfam family: Bacterial small subunit ribosomal RNA
Source: RNAcentral